AGUGAACGCUGGCGGUAGGCCUAACACAUGCAAGUCGAACGGCAGCACAGUAAGAGCUUGCUCUUACGGGUGGCGAGUGGCGGACGGGUGAGGAAUACAUCGGAAUCUACUUUUUCGUGGGGGAUAACGUAGGGAAACUUACGCUAAUACCGCAUACGACCUACGGGCGAAAGCAGGGGAUCUUCGGACCUUGCGCGAUUGAAUGAGCCGAUGUCGGAUUAGCUAGUUGGCGGGGUAAAGGCCCACCAAGGCGACGAUCCGCAGCUGGUCUGAGAGGAUGAUCAGCCACACUGGAACUGAGACACGGUCCAGACUCCUACGGGAGGCAGCAGUGGGGAAUAUUGGACAAUGGGCGCAAGCCUGAUCCAGCCAUACCGCGUGGGUGAAGAAGGCCUUCGGGUUGUAAAGCCCUUUUGUUGGGAAAGAAAAGCAGCAGGUUAAUACCCCGCUGUUCUGACGGUACCCAAAGAAUAAGCACCGGCUAACUUCGUG
RNAcentral lists this ribosomal RNA (492 nucleotides) under uncultured bacterium. Its description in RNAcentral is "partial 16S ribosomal RNA". It matches the Rfam family "Bacterial small subunit ribosomal RNA", at positions 29 to 507 of the family's 1533-position model. The record is from RNAcentral.